GGCAUGGCGGCGUGCUAUACAUGCAAGUCGAGCGAGCAGAACCAGCAGAUUUACUUCGGUAAUGACGCUGGGGACGCGAGCGGCGGAUGGGUGAGUAACACGUGGGGAACCUGCCCCAUAGUCUGGGAUACCACUUGGAAACAGGUGCUAAUACCGGAUAAGAAAGCAGAUCGCAUGAUCAGCUUAUAAAAGGCGGCGUAAGCUGUCGCUAUGGGAUGGCCCCGCGGUGCAUUAGCUAGUUGGUAAGGUAACGGCUUACCAAGGCAAUGAUGCAUAGCCGAGUUGAGAGACUGAUCGGCCACAUUGGGACUGAGACACGGCCCAAACUCCUACGGGAGGCAGCAGUAGGGAAUCUUCCACAAUGGACGCAAGUCUGAUGGAGCAACGCCGCGUGAGUGAAGAAGGUUUUCGGAUCGUAAAGCUCUGUUGUUGGUGAAGAAGGAUAGAGGUAGUAACUGGCCUUUAUUUGACGGUAAUCAACCAGAAAGUCACGGCUAACUACGUGCCAGCAGCCGCGGUAAUACGUAGGUGGCAAGCGUUGUCCGGAUUUAUUGGGCGUAAAGCGAGCGCAGGCGGAAGAAUAAGUCUGAUGUGAAAGCCCUCGGCUUAACCGAGGAACUGCAUCGGAAACUGUUUUUCUUGAGUGCAGAAGAGGAGAGUGGAACUCCAUGUGUAGCGGUGGAAUGCGUAGAUAUAUGGAAGAACACCAGUGGCGAAGGCGACUCUCUGGUCUGCAACUGACGCUGAGGCUCGAAAGCAUGGGUAGCGAACAGGAUUAGAUACCCUGGUAGUCCAUGCCGUAAACGAUGAGUGCUAAGUGUUGGGAGGUUUCCGCCUCUCAGUGCUGCAGCUAACGCAUUAAGCACUCCGCCUGGGGAGUACGACCGCAAGGUUGAAACUCAAAGGAAUUGACGGGGGCCCGCACAAGCGGUGGAGC
RNAcentral lists this ribosomal RNA (937 nucleotides) under Lactobacillus helveticus. Its description in RNAcentral is "bacterial SSU rRNA". It matches the Rfam family "Bacterial small subunit ribosomal RNA", at positions 34 to 938 of the family's 1533-position model. Lineage: Bacteria; Bacillati; Bacillota; Bacilli; Lactobacillales; Lactobacillaceae. The record is from RNAcentral.